UUUAUCAUUAAUCGGCCAGUUACCGAUUAAUUUCUCCGAUUUGAGUGAAAUCGCGUCGGAUGAGUACUGCCGAGUGAUUAUCCGGCCGCCUGCGUUUUUGAAUAGGGGUUCCAACCAUACUAAUUUGUAAACGUUUCGGUGCAUGAUAAGAAACAGAUGAUGAGAGAUUAAGCUAUCGGGAUAGUAGACAUUAGACCAGCUUUGAAGGAGGGGCUCAUCAUUUCUGGCAAGUCCUUGUGGCGAGAGAUGAUACGAAGAAGGAUGACCUUGUCAAUGAUAUGAGCUAGGUAGAGGGGAGAAUGCGGAUGUUGGUGAUGCUUCCA
Molecule: long non-coding RNA, 323 nt
Organism: Arabidopsis thaliana (thale cress)
Lineage: Eukaryota; Viridiplantae; Streptophyta; Magnoliopsida; Brassicales; Brassicaceae
Product: other RNA
Exons: 2
Source: RefSeq